GAUCUGGAGAAAGUAAAUGCAAUAUAUACAUGUGCCAAGGGGCUACCAAUACAGCUUGGUGGGUAGAAGUGCUUGCUCUGCAAGCCUUCUGAUCUAAGUUCAAUUCCUGGGACCCAUGUAAAGAUGGACGGAGAGAACCAAUGCCAAAAAGUUGACCUCUGACCUUGACAUCACAUCAUGGCACACAUGUACCCACCUACACAAACAAUAGCAAAUAAUGCUAAUAAACAAAUACAUAAGCAAUCUAACUUUAAAAUAAUAACAAGGCUUAAGACCUGCACAGAGAAAUAUGCUCAAAUACUCACAUGAAAAGAUUUUCAUUAUUUUCAGGAAAAUGCUGAUGAAGACCAUAUGUAUAACAUGGUCUCCAUCAUCAUAGCCAGUAAACAUCUAAAAUAAUUUAAAUACUUUUUCCCACUUUCUGUUCCAGAUCAUGUAGGAAAACAAAGAGAAAAAACAACAACAACAACAAAACCAGGUUUGGGUGGAAAAUAAACACCCAAUUUUGGAACCCUGCAAAUGUGGAGCAGCUAAUGAGAAAAGUUUGCUGUGACCUUUGGAGUCGCAGAACAAAGCUAAGAGAUUCAAUUGCAAUGAAGAUCAAUCAAGAAGGUAAUGCAUCCAGAAAAUAAGACUGAAUUUAUAAAAAUGGUAAGUGGUGGUGACACCCAACUAGUUUGUAAGUGCACCAAUCAGGGCAACAGCUGUCAGUCAGGUGCAGCAGACUGCUGUCACAAGAACACAAGCCCAGACAUGUGAGGACUUUAAAACUUUCUAAUCUUAUCAGUUUGUCAAUAUAAAAUAAAUAUUCCCGUGUGCUGGUC
Molecule: long non-coding RNA, 824 nt
Organism: Mastomys coucha (southern multimammate mouse)
Lineage: Eukaryota; Metazoa; Chordata; Mammalia; Rodentia; Muridae
Exons: 2
Source: RefSeq, a predicted model, not a curated record